RNAcentral lists this unclassified non-coding RNA (242 nucleotides) under Hevea brasiliensis (rubber tree). The record is from RNAcentral. Lineage: Eukaryota; Viridiplantae; Streptophyta; Magnoliopsida; Malpighiales; Euphorbiaceae.
GCAUAUUUUCUACCAGCAAAUGCGACCAUAUACCCACCAUAAUUCUCCGGAAUGAAGGAGGAGGUGUUGAUGGUGAGAAGGGAGAUCUCGUCGACUUUAGGUCUAAAAACGGAGAUCUGAGAACUCCGGCUAGAGAGAGAGAGCCUUGAAUCGCAAGGAGAUAACUGAAGGGUGUUAUUAUUGUUGUAGAAGAAGGCAGUCCUCGAGGCGAACGCGAUGGCAAAAGUGAACCCAUCCGACCG